Molecule: long non-coding RNA, 260 nt
Organism: Pezoporus occidentalis (night parrot)
Lineage: Eukaryota; Metazoa; Chordata; Aves; Psittaciformes; Psittacidae
Exons: 3
Source: RefSeq, a predicted model, not a curated record
CGGCCGGGGCCAUCCGCCGCCAUCCGCCGCCAUCCGCCGGCCCCGCCGCCGCCCGCCCGCCGGGACUGAGCGCGGCGUCUCCGCCCCGCCAUGAGGGCCAAGUGGCGCAAGAAGCGCAUGCGCAGGCUGAAGCGCAAGCGGAGGAAGAUGAGGCAGAGAUCCAAGUAACGGCCGCGGAGCAGGGCCCGGCCCGGGGCCCCCGGUGCGCUCGGGGCCGCGCGGCUGCCGUUGUGCUGUGAAUAAAGCUGGUGGUGACAGCG